GGUUAAUUCGAUGCAACGCGAAGAACCUUACCAGGGCUUGACAUCCCGGGAACCUGCCUGAAAGGUGGGGUGCCCGCAAGGGAGCCCGGAGACAGGUGGUGCAUGGCUGUCGUCAGCUCGUGUCGUGAGAUGUUGGAUUAAGUUCCGCAACGAGCGCAACCCUCGUUGCCUGUUGCCAGCACGUGAUGGUGGGCACUCAGGCGAGACUGCCGCAGCAAUGUGGAGGAAGGUGGGGAUGACGUCAAGUCAGCAUGCCCCGUACGCCCUGGGCUACACACAUACUACAAUGCGAGGAGCAAACAGUUGCGAACCCGCGAGGGGGAGCUAAUCUCUUAAAGCCAAUCUCAGUUCGGAUUGUAGGCUGCAACUCGCCUACAUGAAGUCGGAAUCGCUAGUAAUCGCGGAUCAGCACGCCGCGGUGAAUACGUUCCCGGGCCUU
Molecule: ribosomal RNA, 439 nt
Filed under: uncultured Deinococcus sp.
Lineage: Bacteria; Thermotogati; Deinococcota; Deinococci; Deinococcales; Deinococcaceae
Description: bacterial SSU rRNA
Rfam family: Bacterial small subunit ribosomal RNA
Source: RNAcentral